RNAcentral lists this ribosomal RNA (504 nucleotides) under uncultured bacterium. RNAcentral describes it as "partial 16S ribosomal RNA". It matches the Rfam family "Bacterial small subunit ribosomal RNA", at positions 30 to 523 of the family's 1533-position model. The record is from RNAcentral.
AUUGAACGCUGGCGGCAUGCCUUACACAUGCAAGUCGAACGGCAGCAUGGAGAGCUUGCUCUCUGAUGGCGAGUGGCGAACGGGUGAGUAAUGCAUCGGAACGUACCGUGUAAUGGGGGAUAACGUAGCGAAAGUUACGCUAAUACCGCAUACGACCUUAGGGUGAAAGCAGGGGAUCGCAAGACCUUGCGUUAUACGAGCGGCCGGUGUCAGAUUAGCUAGUUGGUGAGGUAAAGGCUAACCAAGGCGACGAGCUGUAGCGGGUCUGAGAGGAUGAUCCGCCACACUGGGACUGAGACACGGCCCAGACUCCUACGGGAGGCAGCAGUGGGGAAUUUUGGACAAUGGGGGCAACCCUGAUCCAGCCAUGCCGCGUGAGUGAAGAAGGCCUUCGGGUUGUAAAGCUCUUUCGGCCGGGAAGAAAUCGCACAGGCUAAUACUCUGUGUGGAUGACGGUACCGGCAUAAGGAGCACCGGCUAACUACGUGCCAGCAGCCGCAGUAA